RNAcentral lists this ribosomal RNA (345 nucleotides) under Eunicidae environmental sample. RNAcentral describes it as "partial large subunit ribosomal RNA". It matches the Rfam family "Archaeal large subunit ribosomal RNA", at positions 2036 to 2590 of the family's 2987-position model. The record is from RNAcentral. Lineage: Eukaryota; Metazoa; Annelida; Polychaeta; Eunicida; Eunicidae.
GCAUAAUCAUUUGCCUCUUAAUUAGAGGCUGGUAUGAAAGGGCAAACGAAGGUGUUACUGUCUCCUUUUUACCCCCAUAAAUUUAUCCCCAGGUGAAGACGCCUGGAUCCCUUGAAAAGACAAGAAGACCCCGUCGAGCUUUAUCUUACUGUAGAACCCCAUCAAUUCCUUAAAAUGAGUCCCUCUACAAACAAAUUUUGUUGGGGCAACAAUGGAAGAUUUAAUAUUCCAGCAAAAAAUAGACCCCAAGUCAUCCCAGAGAUCCCUCACAGAUCCAAGGAACAAGCUACCGCAGGGAUAACAGACUAAUUCCCCGCACGAGCCCGAAUCAACCGGGGAGUUUGG